AUUGAACGCUGGCGGCAGGCCUAACACAUGCAAGUCGAGCGGAUGAAGGGAGCUUGCUCCUGGAUUCAGCGGCGGACGGGUGAGUAAUGCCUAGGAAUCUGCCUGGUAGUGGGGGAUAACGUCCGGAAACGGGCGCUAAUACCGCAUACGUCCUGAGGGCGAAAGGGGGGGAUCUUCGGACCUUACGCUAUCAGACGAGCCUAGGUCGGAUUAGCUAGUUGGUGGGGUAAAGGCCUACCAAGGCGACGAUCCGUAACUGGUCUGAGAGGAUGAUCAGUCACACUGGAACUGAGACACGGUCCAGACUCCUACGGGAGGCAGCAGUGGGGAAUAUUGGACAAUGGGCGAAAGCCUGAUCCAGCCAUGCCGCGUGUGUGAAGAAGGUCUUCGGAUUGUAAAGCACUUUAAGUUGGGAGGAAGGGCAGUAAGUUAAUACCUUGCUGUUUUGACGUUACCAACAGAAUAAGCACCGGCUAACUUCGUG
Molecule: ribosomal RNA, 484 nt
Filed under: uncultured bacterium
Lineage: Bacteria
Description: partial 16S ribosomal RNA
Rfam family: Bacterial small subunit ribosomal RNA
Source: RNAcentral